CUACCGGGGUUUCUAAUCCUGUUUGCUACCCACGCUUUCAUGCCUCAGCGUCAGUUAUGGUCCAGAGAAUCGCCUUCGCCACUGGUGUUCUUCCUAAUCUCUACGCAUUUCACCGCUACACUAGGAAUUCCAUUCUCCUCUCCCACACUCUAGAUAUCCAGUUUGAAAUGCAGCUCCCAAGUUAAGCCCGGGAAUUUCACAUCUCACUUAAAUAUCCGCCUACGCAUCCUUUACGCCCAGUAAAUCCGGACAACGCUUGCCACCUACGUAUUACCGCGGCUGCUGGCAC
This 289-nucleotide ribosomal RNA is filed under the name uncultured Eubacteriales bacterium. Its description in RNAcentral is "uncultured Clostridiales bacterium partial 16S ribosomal RNA". The record is from RNAcentral. Lineage: Bacteria; Bacillati; Bacillota; Clostridia; Eubacteriales.